RNAcentral lists this ribosomal RNA (382 nucleotides) under Peckiamyia minutipenis. Its description in RNAcentral is "partial 16S ribosomal RNA". Lineage: Eukaryota; Metazoa; Arthropoda; Insecta; Diptera; Sarcophagidae. The record is from RNAcentral.
UUUAAAUGGCCGCAGUAUACUAACUGUGCAAAGGUAGCAUAAUCAUUAGUCUUUUAAUUGAAGGCUGGUAUGAAUGGUUGGACGAGAUAUUAACUGUUUCAUAAAAAUUUAUAAUAGAAUUUUAUUUUUUAGUCAAAAAGCUAAAAUAAAAUUAAAAGACGAGAAGACCCUAUAAAUCUUUAUAUUUAGAUUAUUAGAAUUUUGUGGAUUUUUUUUUAUUAUAAUAGUUAAUUAUAUUUUAUUGGGGUGAUAUUAAAAUUUUAUAAACUUUUAAUUUUUAUAAACAUUAAUUUAUGAACAUUUGAUCCGUUAAUAACGAUUAUAAAAAUAAGUUACUUUAGGGAUAACAGCGUAAUUUUUUUGGAGAGUUCAUAUCGAUAAA